CGGUUUUGUAAAUCUCCAGAUAAAGCCUGAAGCUUAACUCCAGAAAGUCUGAAGAGACUGCAAGACUUGAGAUCGGGUGAGGUUAAACGUACUUUCAGGGUAGGGGUAAAAUCCUGUAAUCCCGGAAGGACGACCAGUGGCGAAAGCGUUUAACUAGAACGAAUCUGACGGUAAGGAACGAAGGCUAGGGUAGCAAACCGGAUUAGAUACCCGGGUAGUCCUAGCUGUAAACAUUGCCCAUUUGAUGUUGCUUUCCCGUUGAGGGAAGGCAGUGUCGGAGCGAAGGUGUUAAAUGGGCCGCUUGGGAAGUAUGGUUGCAAGACUGAAACUUAAAGGAAUUGGCGGGGGAGCACCGCAACGGGAGGAAUGUGCGGUUUAAUUGGAUUCAACGCCGGAAAACUCACCGGGAACGACCUGUGCAUGAGAGUCAACUUGACGAGCUUACUCGAUAGCAGGAGAGGUAGUGCAUGGCCGUCGUCAGCUCGUACCGUAGGGCGUUCACUUAAGUGUGAUAACGAGCGAGACCCACAUCUUUAAUUGCAAAUGUAUAUGGGAAUAUGCAUGCACUUUAGAGAAACCGCCAGCGCUAAGCUGGAGGAAGGAGUGGUCGACGGCAGGUCAGUACGCCCCGAAUUUCCCGGGCUACACGCGCAUUACAAAGAACGGGACAAUACGUUGCAACCUCGAAAGAGGGAGCCAAUCGCGAAACCCGUCCAUAGUUAGGAUUGAGGGCUGUAACUCGCCCUCAUGAAUCUGGAUUCCGUAGUAAUCGUC
RNAcentral lists this ribosomal RNA (774 nucleotides) under uncultured bacterium. Its description in RNAcentral is "bacterial SSU rRNA". It matches the Rfam family "Archaeal small subunit ribosomal RNA", at positions 526 to 1302 of the family's 1478-position model. The record is from RNAcentral.